CCUCAUUCCGUGUGAUUUCCUUGGUGUUUUUAUCCCCCCCCAGCCCCGGCGCGGCAGACGGCGGGGGCCUCCCAGGGGGAACGACAGCCAAUUACCAGCCCGGUGCCUGCAGCCCAUGGAUGAGGGCUCCUGCCAGCGCCAUUCCCUGCUCUGGUACUUCCACGUCCCCACCAGCUCCUGCCGGCCCUUCCUGUUCGGGGGCUGCCGAGGGAACAGCAACCGCUUCCCAUCCCGGCGGGAAUGCCAGCACCGCUGCCAGAGCCCCCCAGCAGGCAGAGGGAGAUGAGCAGCUCCAAGUGCUUCAUUUAAAUGCAACGGGAUUGGCAGGA
RNAcentral lists this long non-coding RNA (329 nucleotides) under Geospiza fortis (medium ground-finch). RNAcentral's name for it is "lncRNA (ENSGFOG00000011353.1)". The record is from RNAcentral. Lineage: Eukaryota; Metazoa; Chordata; Aves; Passeriformes; Thraupidae.